GACGAACGCUGGCGGCGUGCUUAACACAUGCAAGUCGAACGAAGAGCGAUGGAAGCUUGCUUCUAUCAAUCUUAGUGGCGAACGGGUGAGUAACGCGUAAUCAACCUGCCCUUCAGAGGGGGACAACAGUUGGAAACGACUGCUAAUACCGCAUACGAUCUAAUCUCGGCAUCGAGGAAAGAUGAAAGGUGGCCUCUAUUUAUAAGCUAUCACUGAAGGAGGGGAUUGCGUCUGAUUAGCUAGUUGGAGGGGUAACGGCCCACCAAGGCGAUGAUCAGUAGCCGGUCUGAGAGGAUGAACGGCCACAUUGGGACUGAGACACGGCCCAGACUCCUACGGGAGGCAGCAGUGGGGAAUCUUCCGCAAUGGACGAAAGUCUGACGGAGCAACGCCGCGUGAGUGAUGGCGGCCUUCGGGUUGUAAAGCUCUGUUAAUCGGGACGAAAGGCCUUCUUGCGAACAGUUAGAA
Molecule: ribosomal RNA, 468 nt
Filed under: Veillonella dispar
Lineage: Bacteria; Bacillati; Bacillota; Negativicutes; Veillonellales; Veillonellaceae
Description: bacterial SSU rRNA
Rfam family: Bacterial small subunit ribosomal RNA
Source: RNAcentral